CAACAAACGUUUAUUUCUCGAAGUUCUAGAGGCUGGAAGUCCACUGGCAGAUUCAGUGUCUGUGAAGGCCCUCUUCCUGCAGACUGCCCCACACCGGGGAAGGGCUAGGGACCCCUCUGGAGCCUCUUUGAUGAGGGCAUUAAUCCCAUUUUUGAGGGCUCUGCCCUCGUGACCUAACCACCUCCUGAAGUCUGCACCUCCUAAUCCCACCACACUGGGCAUUAGGAUCUAACAUAUGGGUGCUGUGGGAUACAAACAUUCAGACCAUGGCAAACGGAAAAAGGACAUGUCCUCCCUUCGUGAGGCGAUGAGUGCAAUCAGGCGGGCACCUUGAUAGCAGGAUGACGACAGAGUUCCUGUCCUUUCUGAAGGCUUCCGGUUUCUGUGUGUAAUAGAAGACGAGGUCAGAGGUUUGGGGCAAAUGGAGAGGGUUUUAAACAGCCACUGUGGAAGAUGGCAGGAGCUCAGAGCCAGCUAUACCCAGGAGAAGAAGGACAAUCAGACUGACCCGAGUUGGGGUUUCCUGGCAGGUACAACAGAGAGACAGGUCAAGAGAAGUCAGGAUGUUAUCAAGAGAGUGGUCAAGGUGAGAUAUUGUGGGAUCCACGAGGGAGGGGAAGGAAGUGAAGACAGGAGGAGUGAGGUUAAAGAUCAGCUUGAGGUAAAAGAACGGGAAGUGUGAGUGAUAAACAAACAGUGGAAAGUAGAGGCCGCAGUGAGAAAGGGCUACCUGAAUUUCAUAACUCAGGGCUGAGAUUGUAAGAUCCGAUGUUGCCCCUGCUAACGGGCAUCUGAGACGGAGGGAGGUGACAUGACUGAGGGAGAAGAAAGGCAAGGAGCGGAGCAGAUGAGUGGUCUGUUGUGUGGCACAAGCAUGGCCAUAAAGACUGCAGAACAAAGGAGCGACUGGGGAGAUAUCUUGGAGUGGAAUUGCUCGGUCAUAUGGUAACUCUACGUUCAACUUUCUGAGGACCCGUAAACUGUUUCCACAGCGCUGCACAAUUUCACCUUCCCUCCAGCAGUGGAUGAGGGCUUCUUGCCUCUCCUGAAACAUCUGAAGGUCUGACCUCUUGGGCCCACAUUCCUGCGUGCCAGCAGUCCCCCUGAGCCGGGUCAGGGCACAGAGACUCUCCAGCUUGCCUAGU
Molecule: long non-coding RNA, 1145 nt
Filed under: Equus caballus (horse)
Lineage: Eukaryota; Metazoa; Chordata; Mammalia; Perissodactyla; Equidae
Description: lncRNA (ENSECAG00000056257.1)
Source: RNAcentral